GGCGGGACCGCCAUGGCCGUUUUCCAGAAUAUCCUCUGACGCCGUAAACGUCAGGUGGGGGCCAUAUGCUUUGGACCAGGGUCCUGACAGGGACAGCCCCCUAGGAUGAUGAAUCGCCUCAGGGAUGUUCCGUGGCUCGUACCGGGCAGUGCCCG
This 155-nucleotide small RNA is filed under the name Sphingomonas sp. KC8. Its description in RNAcentral is "6S SsrS RNA". The record is from RNAcentral. Lineage: Bacteria; Pseudomonadati; Pseudomonadota; Alphaproteobacteria; Sphingomonadales; Sphingomonadaceae.